This 121-nucleotide transfer RNA is filed under the name Bacteroidaceae bacterium. RNAcentral describes it as "tRNA-OTHER". The record is from RNAcentral. Lineage: Bacteria; Pseudomonadati; Bacteroidota; Bacteroidia; Bacteroidales; Bacteroidaceae.
GGCGGACGUAGUGGAAUGGUACCGCACACCUCAUGGGGAGGUGACGCUGCGAGAAUAAACCGCGGAAAAUAUCGCAGGGCUUGGUAACAAGAGUGCUGGUUCGAGUCCAGCCGACCCGCCC